ACACCCUCACAAGGCGGGAAAUUUUUACAAUGAACACCGGCGUCGUUUUUCUUCGACCAGAUCUCUCUUGCGGCCCUUUUUUUUCAUUAGCGUCCCAGCUGAUUUACCUUUGCUUGCAACCGAAAAAAGGAAAAAAGAAAAGCAAAGAACCUCAAAAUCACCAUGGAAGAAGAACGGCCAGACCCAAAUCUCCCAGCCAAAAACCUGGACCUCGAUGCCGACUUACAGAAAAAGCACCAAGCCAUGCUCGAUCGCCUCUCCAAUCGCCACCACGCUCGUUUAGACAACUCACUCGCUCGCCGAUCCGACUCAACCAACUCCUCCGAGGCCACGUCCUCUUUCCUCUCCCGCUUCUCCGAAUCCAAGCAAUCCAUCGACUCCCAACUCGCCGACUCCCGUCUCAUUGCUCAAUCCGAUCCCUCUCGCCUCAAAACUCAUUUCGCCAAUAUCUCUUCCUCCAUCUCGGACCUCGAAAAACUCGUUGCGGAGAACUCAUACUUCCUUCCUUCUUAUGAGGUUCGCACUUCUCUCAAAACCAUCUCCGAUUUGAAGCAAAAUCUCGAGAUUUUAAACUCCGAAUUGAUCCCCAAAAGGAAAUUCUCCUUCAAAAACAAAGCCACAACAAAAAAAGAACUCCCCAAAGAACCUGAACCCGUAAAAUCUGACGCCGUUUCAGUGACCAAUUUCAAAAUCCCCAAUUCCCCAGGGUUUAGAAAUAAAACAAACGUAACCCUAAUUCAGAAGUUCAAGGGAACGGAAGUUGGGGAAUUUACGCUAUCCGAUCUGGAUUCCUGCGAAGUGAGAUUAAUUGGCUGCUGCAAUGCGGUUUUUAUGAACAGAUUGAAGGAUUGCAAGGUUUAUUUGGGGCCGGUAAUCGGGUCGAUUUUGAUAGAGGAAGUGGAACGGUGUGUCUUUGUAUUGGCUUCGCAUCAGAUAAGGAUUCAUUUGGCGAAAGGGAGUGAUUUCUAUUUGAGAGUGAGGAGUAGGCCUAUAAUUGAAGACAGCAAUGUUGUGAGAUUUGCCCCGUAUUGUUUGGAUUAUGAAGGGAUUGAGAUGGACUUAGAGAAGGCAGGGUUGAGUGAGGAGACAGGAAAUUGGGGGAAUGUGGAUGAUUUUAAGUGGUUGAGAGCUGUGCAGUCGCCGAAUUGGUGCGUUUUACCGGUGAAUGAGAGGGUUGGGAAGGUUCGGGUUGGCGAUUUGGAGAGCGGAAAUGAAGUGUGCAAUAUAAAUAGCAGGAAUUUGGAGUUAGCAAUUAAAGGUAGAUGAGAUGGAUGAGGCAGUCAUAAACAUGAUGAUGGCUUUGGGUGUGGUUGGAUUGAAGUGUACCAGUUUCUUUGGCUGUACAAAUGAUUUCUGGAGCUUGCUAUUGGAAUCUUAAGCAUCUGCUUGAAUGAAUGGGAUGUUUACUUAAGGAGUACUCUGAUUGAGAAUCUAUCACUUCCUUAAAUGAGCUUUGCCUAUGAUUUCUGCAUUCAUUAAUCAUGCAUGGAAUCUGUGUUAAUGGCGCUUGUAAGGUAAGCUAGAGUUGCUCCUAAAACACAUACUCCGAAGGCAAAGGUGACAGAAGUUUAAAAGAUAAAAAAAGAAGAAUUCUGCCUCUGUAAGUGCAUCUACUCAUCCAGUGAAGGAAAGGAAAAAUCCACAUAUGAUUUCUCUGCCUUCACCAUUUUCGGAGUCUCAUAUCUUUGCUACUUUGAAUUUCCCCCUCUAAAUCUCAGUUUAAUUGCAGAGCUCAGGUAAUCUUUUUCUUUUCUUUCUACAUCAUCCCUUUUUUGUUACUUUGCCUCUUUAGAUUCUCUGAGCAGUUCCAGGGCUUUGUCUUUUAUUUUUCAUGAUCAGUUCCAGGGAUUUGAAGCAUGGGCGCAAUGCGCUGCACUUUGCAAAUGAGGAAAGGCAUGUAUCUAAACGAUCACAAUAAGUUGUUUAUCAAGGGCCUUUUUUGUACAAAAAUCGAAGUGUAUUUACCCCAUAUAACUUAAUGAGAUUGAAAUAGUUUAAAAUGGUUUCCAGUAGCACUUCAUUAAGCUGCUUUAUCAGUUCUUUUACUUCUUUGACGCCAUUUGUUUGAUGACUUAGUUGUCUAUUUGGCCUCCGGAGUUGAAACUUUGCCUACAAAGUUAUGACUCCCUAGUAAAUGCUCGCUAGUAAUUAGUAACUGUUGGUUUCAGGUUUAUGCUCUGGCUUCCGAGAAAGGGAACUAUUUCAACAUUUGGAUCUACAUUUCUCUGCCAAUUAAUGGACCCGUGCUCAAGAAAAGUCCCAUUCGUGGAAUUUGAAGUUGUGAAGCAUGAAGAGUUAUACAGGAGCCAGAUCAGCAGCCGGUUGCUUGCAGAGUGACCUUACGUGUUGAGGCUGGGUGAUGUCAGCAUUUGCUAAAGUGGACCUAGUGGGUGCUCUUAAAUUUAGCUUCACCGAGUGUCUGGGUGAAGGGUUUGAAAACGAGCGUACUGCCUAGGUAGAGUCAGAGACAUCUUCGGUUUCUACAGGGGGAUGGGGCUGGACUUAGAUAAAUGUUUUUACAGAGGAGGAUUUUCAACAGGAAAAGAUGGCCCUCAAGUUCGUCCAAGUCCCAAGCAAGUGAUUAGAAACAAAAAUAUUUCAAAUUCAAACCCCAUCUUUGUUUUCGUGAUUUGUCCCUGUAGUCAAUUGAGGUUUUGGCUUCGAGAGCCGCCGUUGCCCAUCGAUGGAUUGUACGUAUUACGGGCCUUUUUCCCAUGUAUAUCGUUUUAAUUGGUAGAUUGUGCAAACGGCGUUUCGAAAUCGACAGGGACAUUGACAAAUUGCCUUCCAACUAUUUGUCUAUUUCUCCUUUUGAGAUCCAAAUUCUAAAGAUUGGGCACUUUUCUGCUGUUCCGUGGAUCAGGUUUCUCAUACAUUUAGUUUCAAUUUUUUCCAUCUCAUUGUCUCUACGCUUUAGCAAAUUAAGGUGGUGUGGAACUAUGCUUUAUGAGGGUUGUUGGGCUGUGAAUAGUUGAAAAGGGUGAAGUUGGUGUGCCAUGAACGCUCGCAAACACAAUUCACGUGUACUGGACGUAAUAGAAGUAUUUCUUACUAACUGUUUCUGGGAUGAAGGUGCACUGCAAUAAUUUCAUUUCCAGUUUGUUUUAUUCGCUUUGACCAACAGAUCAUCAGGAUCAUUGAUUAGCAGCUCAUGUUAGGAAAUCAUAUAUCAGAAGAUGCUGAAUGGAACCUCCAUGGCAGGUUGCAACAAAUUAGGUCGAUAAAGCUAUUGGAAGCCCAGGUGUGUUUUCUGAGUCAACCUUCAUGUUCAUACUCAACAUCAAUCAUUUCAUUUGGUCGUAUACUAGAAUUAUAAUAAACUAAGGUGAUGAAAGAGCAGUAGAAAGAAAGAUUGCUGUCGCUAAUGCUUUGAAAAUAAAUCCAUUUUAAAGAACUUUCCUGUUGUCCAUCUCUAGUGAGUGUUUUGAUCUAUAUUUAAUGUUUGCUUAAAACCAGCAUUAUAUAAUGUUGUUUUCUUUUUGCAUGGAGAUGGAAAGACCCGAAUACAUCUACGUGGCAAAGGAAGUGUAGAAAGUCCGAGUUUAGAUAUAUUGGGUAGAAACUUAACUGGGGAAGCAAAUCAGUUGUUUAGCUGACAUUACAAAUAUGAUUUUUUCUAAUGAUAAAAUAAUAAGCUGUUUAGGUGACAUCUCUUACUUUCUAAAUUCUUUAUUUAAACCUGCUUCCUUUUGAUGUGAGGGUCUGGUCCACCCGACAAGGAACCCUGGUUGAAGAAGUAAUCUCUCUGUUUCCCUCUAAAAAAUCUUCUGUUAGUUUUUCUUGAAGAAGGUGUUAAUAUGU
Molecule: non-coding RNA, 3801 nt
Organism: Theobroma umbraticum
Lineage: Eukaryota; Viridiplantae; Streptophyta; Magnoliopsida; Malvales; Malvaceae
Source: RefSeq, a predicted model, not a curated record